UCCCCGGUGGUGCAGUGGUUAAGAAUCCGCCUGCCAAUGCAGGGGACACGAGUUCGAGCCCCGGUCCGGGAAGAUCCCACGUGCCGCGGAGCAACUCAGCCCGUGCGCCACAACUACUGAGCCCGCGCUCUAGAGCCCGUGAGCCACAACAGCUGAGCCCGUGUGCCACAACUACUGAAGCCCGCGUGCCUAGAGCCCGUGCUCCGCAGCAAGAGAAGCCACCGCUAUGAGAAGCCCGCAAUGAAGAGGAGCCCCCGCUCGCCGCAACUAGAGAAAGGCCGCGCGCAGCAACGAAGACCCAGCGCAGCCAAAAAUAAGGGUUUAUUUCUGCCAGAGCGCACACUCUUAAGCAUCCCCAACUGUACCCUCCGUAAAGGCUGGGGAGAAGUGGGAAGAGCCGGUGACUUCAGUGUCCGUUCACAGCUGGUGGCACCAAGUCUGGUUACAGAGUAGGAGCCGGAAUCCUGUGAUGUCCAGAGAUGUCCAGCAUGUCAAAUUCUAGGCCAGAGACCGAGCCACAGGCACCAAGAGGCCAGAAAAUAUUGGAUGGGAGUUGGCUUA
Non-coding RNA from Kogia breviceps (pygmy sperm whale), 561 nucleotides. The record is from RefSeq and is a predicted model, not a curated record. NCBI's taxonomy places the organism in Eukaryota, Metazoa, Chordata, Mammalia, Artiodactyla, Physeteridae.